Panicum virgatum (switchgrass) is the source of this 2460-nucleotide RNA transcript. RefSeq lists it as uncharacterized. NCBI's taxonomy places the organism in Eukaryota, Viridiplantae, Streptophyta, Magnoliopsida, Poales, Poaceae. The record is from RefSeq and is a predicted model, not a curated record. The transcript has 4 exons.
CGGCUCCCACCCCGCGCGCCCUCCCUCCCUCGCUACAACGCCGCCUGCACCCUCGCUCCGCCCUCCCCAGCUCCCCCUCUCCACGCCCCAGCUGCGGCCACCGCCGCGGCGCCCAGCGCCUUCACCCUCCACUCGCCCCGCCGAUGAGGACCCCGUUUCUACCCUCCCUCCCGUGCCCCCUCGCACCUUUCGUCCGAUCGGGCCUCUUCCUGCCCGACGGUUCCCGUGCCCGCUCACGCACCUACCUCCUCCGCCCCACACACCCCGGCCCCGCAACCUCCAACGCCGCCGCCGACACGCGUGGCCCUUCCUCCUCCGCCCCCAGCCCCAGAUCAGUCGCGACCGCCGCCGCCAACCGCGUUCGUCACGAUGGUGUCCGUCAUUGGCAAGGAGGAGGGAACCCUAGCACGGCCUCUCCUCGCGGAAAGGAAACUAGACAGCAGCGGCGUGGCCUCGCCGAUCUCCGCGUCCGCCCCCAUCUCCGUUCCUUCAGCCACCGGAAAGCAGCGGCCUCUCCUACGCCCUCCUCCUUCAUUUCUUUGGCCGGCGGACAGCAGCGGCGUCGCAUCUGCGCACCAGAUGCCGCUUGGACACAAUUGAAAGUUCUUUCUUAGAAGUCUUGCAGAAAUUCUGUUGCUGGGCAGGAUGAGAUCAUGAACAUAGCUAGCAGGCUUGAAUUGUACCAGCUCAAGCAAAAUCCGACUGAACUUUGGAGUGAAGUGGCUUCCACAAGAUGCCGCAUUAGCAGGGUGGGCUGGGAUCAACAGGUUCUUGCUCCCAGUGUUGGAGCACCAGUGCAUGCUCAACAUAAUAAGUGAUUUGGCUUCUUGUUCUGAUCACAUCGGAUUUGAGGAUUUUACUCUCAGAGCAAUUGUUGUAAACUGAUGAAUUCCUCAUCCAUUGUUGUUACUGGAUGAUUUGCAGCCUGGCCAGUGGUUGGAGGGCAAGAACCAAGCGAUUCAUUGCAUUGGUCCUGCGCUUAUUGUGAAGCCUGGCCAGUUAUUUGGCGCUUUCAUGCCUAGACAGGUGCAAGGAUUAUUUCAUUGCUUGGUGGGGUCAUGUACCUUGGUGUGCCCCUGGAAUGGUAAAGAUCUCUCAACCAUACCUUUUUCCACAUGGAAUCUGAAAUUCUAGAGAAGUCAAACAAUGAUAGCUACUUUCUUUUGUUGCCAUCAAAUGAGCAUAUUUAUUGUAACCCUGCUCUGGAAAUCAUGUUGCUUGCUGUUUCAGUUCUUAUUCAUGUGGACUUGUUUGAGUUUAGCUGGAAUGCUGGAUGCUUCAAAGGGGACCCUAGGUAGAGCUGCUACUGCGAAGUGGAUAAAGAAGCUCACUUGAAUGGUAACUGAACUAUAUCCAGUAGCAUUUGAAUGUUUAAUAGUAGUUCAUGGUCAAUGAUUGAAUUUAGGAGAAAUGUUGAAGACCCUUGUCUUUUUUCCACUGAAACUAAAAAUAGCAACCACCUUUUCUUUGUGUGCGUAGUAGUAGUCCAGAUGUGGGCUGUUAUCUAUCAAGCAAUUGAGAGAUCUGUGGGUGUUAAUUUUGAGUCCAUCAAUACUUACUGGUUUAGUACAAAAAAAAUCACUAUUGUUAAUAUGUUGCGUGCUGCUGUUUUUUGGAGUUUGUGGAAAUUAAGGAAUGACCUGUGUUUUCAUAAUGCUGAUUGGUAGAACAUGAAGGUCUUGGUCAUGAGAAUAGUGAAGAUGGUGCAAAUUGGUUAAUUCUGUGUCUGAAGAAGGAAAAAGAAUGUCUCUCGAAUGCUAUCUCGGCUUUAAAGCGCAUAGCACUCAGUUCUUGGAGAAUUGCCUGAAGAAACUACAAGCUGAUGAAGACUUUACUAAGGUCCCGGAAUAAUACAAUUGACAUCAGCACGUGUGGUAUUCCUAAAAGCAAAGCAUCAGAUUGAAUUUACUAAGAAAACAAACUAAUGAAUAGACAAAUUAAAACCCAUGGCCUUUCAUGUGUUUCCGUAAGGUUACAUUGAUACAUUUACUUGCUUAUGGAUUUCAAUGGCGAAAGAAUUUUCAGCUCCUAUGUACCUGAAGACUGAGUUCAUGUGCUGUGGAGGAUCAGCCGAUACAUGGGUCUGACUAUCUGAGCACUUGUGGUUUAGGGGAGGGAGACGAUUUGGGAGGUCCAUGUUGCAGCUACACAAAGGCAAGAAAUUCUUUUACUGCUCUGUGUAGUGGAUUUAUGUUGCUGCGUGUUGAGUGAUUUUGUUGAUCUUAUAGAGUAAAUUUUGAAAACAUACUUUAGAAUUUGUGGCAUGGUUUAGCUAUGAAUGUUUUAUCUCAGUUUCCUAUGAGAAGCGCUUUGCCAGUGGUGUUUUCCUCAGGUUGUUUUGAUUUUGGAAUUUUUUUUUUUUGCCAGUGGCUCGCUGUGUCAAAAUGACUUGUGGCUUGAAUAGCUAGAAUUGUGGUAAUAUACAUGUCAAGAUUGAAGGCUUGAACAUACCGGAUUUAA